AAAAAACUCAAGGCGGAUGAUGGAUGCCUUGGGGCAGGAAGCCGAAGAAGGACGUGUGAGCCUGCGAUAAGCCUCGGUGAGCUGGCACAAAGCGUUAUCAGCCGGGGAUCUCCGAAUAGGGAAACCUAGUCCAUUUGGACUACUAUACGGCCAAGUCCCCGCCUUUAGGCGGGGUAUUAACCGUAUGGAGGGAACUCAGCGAAGUGAAACAUCUCAGUAGCUGGAGGAAAAGAAAACAACGUUUAUUCCCUAAGUAGCGGCGAGCGAAAUGGGAAGAGCCUAAACCAAGCUUAGCUUGGGGUUGCGGGACUCCACAAAAGGAUAUCGCGAGAUAGCAGAACAUCCUGGAAAGGAUGGCCAAAGAGGGUGAAAGCCCCGUACGUGAAAUCUCAAAGUACCUUAGGAGGAUCCCAAGUACCACGGGACACGUGAAACCUUGUGGGAAUCGACCCGGACCACCGGGUAAGGCUAAAUACUUUCUGCCACCGAUAGUGCACAAGUACCGUGAGGGAAAGGUGAAAAGAACCCCGGGAGGGGAGUGAAAUAGAACUUGAAAUCAUCUGCCGACAAGCAGACAGAGCUCGUGCAUGGCACGAGAGUUUCCAGUGACCAGUUACCAGUUUCCAGUUAGUUCAGAAUUGUGGAGUUAAUAAAUUGGAAAUUGGAACUUGGAAAUUGGACAUUCUCGCGCUGUGCGCGAGUAAUGUCGUGCCUAUUGAAGAAUGAACCGACGAGUUAACAUCGUAUGCGAGUCUAACCCGCCUUAGGCGGGGGAGGCGUAGGGAAACCAAGUCUUAAAGGGCGACAAGCAUACAGUGUUAGACCCGAAACCGAGUGAGCUACCCAUGGGCAGGGUGAACCCCGACGAGAGUCGGGGAGAGGCCCGAACCGAUGUCAGAUGCAAUUGGCUCGGAUGACUUGUGGGUAGAGGUAAUAUGCCAAUCGAACUCGGUGAUAGCUGGUUCUCCCCGAAACAUGUUUAGGCAUGUCCUCAGGCGUUAAGCUGUGGGGGUAGAGCUACUGGAAGGAAUGUUAGGCCCGCGAGGGCACUACUUCCUACCAAACUCCGAAUACCGCAGUGUAGUGCUUGGGAGUCAGUCGGCGGGAGUAAGUUCCGUCCGGCGAAAGGGAAACAACCCAGACCACCGGCUAAGGUCCCUAAAUCGAAUCUCAGUGGUAAAGGAAGUGAGGUGACCGAGACACCCAGAAGGUAGGCUCAGAAGCAGCCACCCUUGAAAGAGUGCGUAACAGCUCACUGGCUAAGUCACCUUGCGCCGAAAAUGAUCGGGGCUAAGAUUCGUACCGAAGCUGUGGCCCGCCAACAGCUACGCAGUUGCUGGCGGGGGUAGGGGAGCAUUCCUUGGGCGGUGAAGCCUUAUCGGAAGGUAGGGUGGAGCGCAAGGAAGGGAGAAUGUCGGUAUGAGUAGCGUAAUCCGCCUGAGAAUGGCGGACGCCGAAAGUCUAAGGUUUCCUCCGCAAUGUUCGUCAACGGAGGGUUAGUCGUACUCUAAGCUGAGGCCGAAAGGCGUAGGUGAUGGGUAGCCGGUUAAUAUUCCGGCACUAUCUUGUUUUCGUUUUACGAUGGGGUAACGAAGUUUGAUAAACUGGGCAUUCGUAUGGUUGGGUGUGUAAGCUACGAGCCGUCUUCCAGCAGGUAAAUCCGCUGGAAGGUUAAGGUGAGUAGUGAUGCCAAUCCGCCUUUGGUGGAAAGCCAGCCGCGUUAAGCUUCCAAGAAAAACCUCUAAGGAGAAAACAAGAUAUCCGUACCGCAAACCGACACCGGUAGACAGGAAGAGAAUUCUAAGGCGAUCGGGAUAAUGAGGGUUAAGGAACUCGGCAAAUUAGCCCCGUAACUUCGGGAGAAGGGGUGCCCCGCCUUUGGCGGGGUUACAAUAACCAGGCUCAAGCGACUGUUUAACAAAAACACAGGUCUCCGCUUAAACCGCAAGGUGAUGUAUGGGGGCCGACGCCUGCCCAGUGCCCGUCGGUUAAGGGAAAGGCUGAUCCCGCCCUUUGGGCGGGAGAGGCUAGAACCUAAGCCCGGGUGAACGGCAGCAGUAACUAUAACUGUUCUAAGGUAGCGAAACCCCUUGUCGGGUAAGUUCCGACCCGCAUGAAAGGCGUCACGACUUGAGCACUCUCUCAACCCUCAACCCGGCGAAAUUGAAAUGGCUGUGAAGAUGCGGCCUACCCGCAGCAGGACGAAAAGACCCCGUGGAGCUUUACUGCAGCUUAACAUUGAUUUGAAAGUCGAAUUUGUGUAGCGUAGGAGGGAGGUGCCGAUUUGGCACCGCUCAUGAAACACCUCUCGAUUUGGCAUUCAAGCCUCACUUUGGCGGUUAUCCCGUUGAAGGACAGUGUUUGGUGGGCAGUUUGACUGGGGCGGUCGCCUCGCAAAAGGUAACCGAGGCGCCCAAAGGUCUGCUUGGUCCCGAUGGACACGGGACUGUAAGUGCAAAGGCAUAAGCAAGCUUGACUGCAAGACUGACAGGUCGCGCAGAUGCGAAAGCAGGGCUUAGUGACCUACUGUCAUCAAGUGGCGGAGACAGUAACAACGGAUAAAAGCUACCCCGGGGAUAACAGGUUAGUAGCGCUCGAGAGUCCACAUCAACGGCGCUGUUCGACACCUCGAUGUCGGCUCGUCCUAUCCUGGGGCUGGAGAAGGUCCCAAGGGUUCGGCUGUUCGCCGAUUAAAAGGGCACGUGAGCUGGGUUCAGAACGUCGUGAGACAGUUCGGACUUAAUCCGCUGCGGGCGGAUAAUUUCUUGAGGGGAAUCUCCUCCUAGUACGAGAGGACCGGAGGGGGCAAACCUCUGGUGCACCAGUUGUUCCACCAGGAGCAUUGCUGGGUAGCUAUGUUUGCUGGGAUAAGCGCUGAAAGCAUCUAAGCACGAAGCCCACCCCAAGAUGAGGAAAAGACCCCUUGUAGACCACAAGGUUGAUAGACGGUAGGUGUAAGCACAGUAAUGUGUUCAGCCAAGCCGCACUAAUAGGUCGAUUAUUUUUCAA
This 3009-nucleotide ribosomal RNA is filed under the name candidate division WWE3 bacterium CG_4_9_14_0_2_um_filter_48_10. Its description in RNAcentral is "bacterial LSU rRNA". It matches the Rfam family "Bacterial large subunit ribosomal RNA". Lineage: Bacteria; candidate division WWE3. The record is from RNAcentral.